Molecule: ribosomal RNA, 120 nt
Filed under: Carassius auratus (goldfish)
Lineage: Eukaryota; Metazoa; Chordata; Actinopteri; Cypriniformes; Cyprinidae
Source: RNAcentral
UCUUACGGCCAUACCAACCUGGCUAUGCCCGAUCUCGUCUGAUCUCGGAAAGCUAAGCAGGUUUGGGCCUGGUUAGUACUUGGAUGGGAGACCGCCUGGGAAUAUCAGGUGCUGUAAGAU